Molecule: long non-coding RNA, 298 nt
Filed under: Homo sapiens (human)
Lineage: Eukaryota; Metazoa; Chordata; Mammalia; Primates; Hominidae
Description: LHRI_LNC1415.1
Source: RNAcentral
GGCUUUCUCUGCAUAACAAGAACCUUGGCCUCCACAACCUCCUUUAUCUUCACUCAAGCAUUUCUACUGACUUCAAUCUUUAGACAAAUCUUAACUCUUUCAACCAAUUGCCAGUCAGAAAAUCUUUGAAUCCAUCUAUAACCUGUAACCAUCCCCCUUGAAGAUAUCCCACCUCUAAUCCUGAACCAAUAUAUGCAUACCUUCUAUGUGUUAAUUUAUGAUUUUAUCUACAUUCAUGUCUCCCUAAGAGGUAUAAAACCAAACUAACCCAAUUGCCUCAGGCACACUUUCUCAGGAC